RNAcentral lists this ribosomal RNA (484 nucleotides) under uncultured bacterium. RNAcentral's name for it is "partial 16S ribosomal RNA". It matches the Rfam family "Bacterial small subunit ribosomal RNA", at positions 29 to 523 of the family's 1533-position model. The record is from RNAcentral.
AGUGAACGCUGGCGGCGUGCUUAACACAUGCAAGUCGAACGAGAACGGAUUAUAGCUUGCUAUAAUUGUCAGCUAAGUGGCGCACGGGUGAGUAAUGUAUUGGUAAUAUGCCUCUUACUAAGGGAUAACAAAUGGAAACGUUUGCUAAUACCUUAUACUCCUUAUUAACAUAAGUUAAUAAGGGAAAGAUUUAUUGGUAAGAGAUUAGCCUGUAUUGUAUCAGUUAGUUGGUGGGGUAAUGGCUUACCAAGACUAUGACACAUAACUGGUUUGAGAGGAUGAUCAGUCACACUGGAACUGAGACACGGUCCAGACUCCUACGGGAGGCAGCAGCGGGGAAUAUUGCACAAUGGACGAAAGUCUGAUGCAGCAACGCCGCGUGGAGGAUGACACAUUUCGGUGCGUAAACUCCUUUUAUAUGAGAAGAUAAUGACGGUAUUAUAUGAAUAAGCACCGGCUAACUCCGUGCCAGCCGCCGCAGUAA